This 1155-nucleotide ribosomal RNA is filed under the name human gut metagenome. Its description in RNAcentral is "bacterial LSU rRNA". It matches the Rfam family "Bacterial large subunit ribosomal RNA", at positions 805 to 1984 of the family's 2925-position model. The record is from RNAcentral.
UGAGGUGUGGAUAGGGGAGAAAUUCCAAUCGAACCCGGAGAUAGCUGGUUCUCCUCGAAAUAGCUUUAGGGCUAGCCCCGUAUUAGUUUAGCGGAGGUAGAGCACUGAAUUCCUAAGGGGGCGUCAAAGCUUACCAAGGGAUAUCAAACUCCGAAUGCCGCAUAAAUGAUGUACGGGAGUCAGACUGCACGAGAUAAGUUGGGCAGUCAAAAGGGAAAGAGCCCAGACCUACAGCUAAGGUCCCAAAGUGUGUGUUAAGUGGAAAAGGAUGUGGGAUUUCAGAGACAACUAGGAUGUUGGCUUAGAAGCAGCCACACAUUCAAAGAGUGCGUAAUAGCUCACUAGUCGAGAGGUCCUGCGCCGAAAAUGUCCGGGGCUGAAACACAACACCGAAGCUCAGGAAUGUAUUUAUACAUUGGUAGAGGAGCAUUCUUAAAGGGGCGAAGCAGUACCGAUAAGGAGCUGUGGACUUUUAAGAAGAGAGAAUGCCGGAAUGAGUAGCGAGAUGGAGGUGGGAAUCCUCCAGGCCGAAUAUCCAAGGUUUCCAGAGUAAAGCUGAUCUGCUCUGGGUAAGUCGGGGCCUAAGGUAAGGCUGAGAAGCGUAGCCGAUGGACAACAGGUUGAGAUUCCUGUACCGCGUAUCAUCAGAACUGUGGGGACACAGAAGGACAGCACAUCCCGGGAAUGGAAAGACCGGGGCAAGCAGGGUAGGAGUUAAGCUGGCAAAUCCGCUUAACAAUCCGAAGCUGUGAUGCGGAGCGAAUUUAAGUAGCGAAGUGUGCGAUUCCGGCUGUCAAGAAAAGCCGCUAUUGUGUGAUACGUGCCCGUACCGUAAACCGACACAGGUAGAUGAGGAGAGAAUCCUAAGGCCGGCGGGAGAAGCAUUGUUAAGGAACUCGGCAAAAUGACCCUGUAACUUCGGGAGAAAGGGUGCCUGGGAAACCAGGCCGCAGAGAAUAGGCUCAAGCAACUGUUUAGCAAAAACACAGGUCUAUGCAAAACCGUAAGGUGAGGUAUAUGGGCUGACGCCUGCCCGGUGCUGGAAGGUUAAGAGGAGGGGUUAGCGCAAGCGAAGCUCUGAAUUGAAGCCCCAGUAAACGGCGGCCGUAACUAUAACGGUCCUAAGGUAGCGAAAUUCCUUGUCGGGUAAGUUCC